AUUGAACGCUAGCGGGAUGCUUUACACAUGCAAGUCGAACGGCAGCGCGGACUUCGGUCUGGCGGCGAGUGGCGAACGGGUGAGUAAUGUAUCGGAACGUGCCCAGUAGCGGGGGAUAACUACGCGAAAGCGUAGCUAAUACCGCAUACGCCCUACGGGGGAAAGCAGGGGAUCGUAAGACCUUGCACUAUUGGAGCGGCCGAUAUCGGAUUAGCUAGUUGGUGAGGUAACGGCUCACCAAGGCGACGAUCCGUAGCUGGUUUGAGAGGACGACCAGCCACACUGGAACUGAGACACGGCCCAGACUCCUACGGGAGGCAGCAGUGGGGAAUGUUGGACAAAGGGGGCAACCCUGAUCCAGCCAGCCCGCGUGUGCGAUGAAGGCCUUCGGGUUGUAAAGCACUUUUGGCAGGAAAGAAACGUCGCGGGCUAAUACCCCGUGGAACUGACGGUACCUGCAGAAUAAGCACCGGCUAACUACGUG
Molecule: ribosomal RNA, 484 nt
Filed under: uncultured bacterium
Lineage: Bacteria
Description: partial 16S ribosomal RNA
Rfam family: Bacterial small subunit ribosomal RNA
Source: RNAcentral